UGGGGAAUAUUGCACAAUGGAGGGAACUCUGAUGCAGCGACGCCGCGUGAACGAAGAAGGCUUUCGAGUCGUAAAGUUCUUUUAUAUGGGAAGAUAAUGACGGUACCAUAAGAAAAAGCCCCGGCUAACUACGUGCCAGCAGCCGCGGUAAUACGUAGGGGGCUAGCGUUGUCCGGAAUCACUGGGCGUAAAGGGUUCGCAGGCGGAAAUGCAAGUCAGGUGUAAAAGGCAGUAGCUUAACUACUGUAAGCAUUUGAAACUGCAUAUCUUGAGAAGAGUAGAGGUAAGUGGAAUUUUUAGUGUAGCGGUGAAAUGCGUAGAUAUCAGGAGGAAUACCGGUGGCGAAGGCGACUUACUGGACUUAAACUGACGCUCAGGCACGAAAGCGUGGGGAGCAAACAGG
Molecule: ribosomal RNA, 403 nt
Filed under: Fusobacteriota bacterium
Lineage: Bacteria; Fusobacteriati; Fusobacteriota
Description: Fusobacteria bacterium partial 16S ribosomal RNA
Rfam family: Bacterial small subunit ribosomal RNA
Source: RNAcentral